GAUAGUAAAAAGCUGUUCUGCUCGUUGAUUGCUCGCCAUAUGCCUGCUGUGUGCUCGGUAUUUUAUACACAUUAUCUGGAUUGAGUCUUGCAGCCCUGCUCAGAGGUGGGUCCUCGUGUCUUCAGAGCUCAGAGGCGGCGGUGGUGGAAACUCAGGGAGGGGGAAGAGCCCACUGCCCCAGACCUCUGGCCAGCCAAGGUCUCGUGGCCAGCAGUUCCAAGGCUCAGCGAUAAGGCUGCUGCAGAGGAGAUACCAAGGAAGGCCGUCCCGCCACACUGCGCAGGACGGGCCAGUGGCUGCAGUGCCUUCUUCUGGACCGGUGGAAAAGGAACAAAGAAGCUGCAUGAAAAAGGAAGACGUGAGCUGUAUCAUUCCGAGAGAAGCGAAACAGGGAGAGGGGCCGCCCUGGCUUCCCAGAGGACCAGGUGGGAAAGGAUUCCUCCAGGGCUGUGCCGCCUGGGAAGACCAAUCGCCCGGGGCCUGGAUCCCGACAGCAGUCCCACAGCGCCACCUAGUGUCUUCCCGGGAUAACGUGCAUCCCGUCAUCCUCCAGAGCUGGGCCCUGGACCGGAACCCAGAGCACCUCCUACCGGCCAGAUGAAAAUCUGGUUAUCCACAAACGAAUGAAGAGCACUAGAAAUGGCAUGUAUGGGUAUGUGUGUAUAUAUCUAUAU
Long non-coding RNA from Bos taurus (domestic cattle), 674 nucleotides. The record is from Ensembl. NCBI's taxonomy places the organism in Eukaryota, Metazoa, Chordata, Mammalia, Artiodactyla, Bovidae.